Molecule: ribosomal RNA, 433 nt
Filed under: uncultured bacterium
Lineage: Bacteria
Description: partial 16S ribosomal RNA
Rfam family: Bacterial small subunit ribosomal RNA
Source: RNAcentral
AACGAACGCUGGCGGCAUGCCUAACACAUGCAAGUCGAACGAGCCCUUCGGGGUUAGUGGCGCACGGGUGCGUAACGCGUGGGAAUCUGCCCUUGGGUUCGGAAUAUCAGUGAGAAAUUACUGCUAAUACCGGAUGAUGUCUUCGGACCAAAGAUUUAUCGCCCAAGGAUGAGCCCGCGUAGGAUUAGCUAGUUGGUGGGGUAAUGGCCUACCAAGGCGACGAUCCUUAGCUGGUCUGAGAGGAUGAUCAGCCACACUGGGACUGAGACACGGCCCAGACUCCUACGGGAGGCAGCAGUGGGGAAUAUUGGACAAUGGGCGAAAGCCUGAUCCAGCAAUGCCGCGUGAGUGAUGAAGGCCUUAGGGUUGUAAAGCUCUUUUACCCGGGAUGAUAAUGACAGUACCGGGAGAAUAAGCUCCGGCUAACUCCGUG